AGAGCAUCUUAGCAGGUCGUGGCCUUUGUGCAGUAGGCCAGGAUUUGGUAGCUGGUGCUAAAAUCAACCCUCUCUUGCGACGCUCCCUCUAGCAACUGCUGGGCUUUCUGGGACUUUUUUCGGAGAGGUACAAGC
This 135-nucleotide small nucleolar RNA is filed under the name Hippocampus comes (tiger tail seahorse). Its description in RNAcentral is "Small nucleolar RNA SNORA30/SNORA37 family (ENSHCOG00000017665.1)". The record is from RNAcentral. Lineage: Eukaryota; Metazoa; Chordata; Actinopteri; Syngnathiformes; Syngnathidae.